UGAGACCUACGGGAGGCAGCAGUGGGGAAUAUUGCGCAAUGGGCGAAAGCCUGACGCAGCGACGCCGCGUGAGGGAUGAAGGUCUUCGGAUAGUAAACCUCUGUCAGCAGGGAAGAACGGUCACUGUGCUAAUCAGCAGUGAAUUGACGGAACCUGCAAAGGAAGCACCGGCUAAAUCCGUGCCAGCAGCCGCGGUAAUAAGGAGGGUGCGAGCGCUAAUAGGAAUUACUGGGCGUAAAGCGCUAGUAGGAGGUAUGUCAAGUCAAGGGUGAAAUCC
Molecule: ribosomal RNA, 277 nt
Filed under: uncultured bacterium
Lineage: Bacteria
Description: partial 16S ribosomal RNA
Rfam family: Bacterial small subunit ribosomal RNA
Source: RNAcentral